UAAUACAUGCAAGUAGAACGCAGAAGAGAGGAGCUUGCUCUUCUUGGAUGAGUUGCGAACGGGUGAGUAACGCGUAGGUAACCUGCCUUGUAGCAGGGGAUAACUAUUGGAAACGAUAGCUAAUACCGCAUAACAAUGGAUGACUCAUGUCAUUUAUUUGAAAGGGGCAAAUGCUCCACUACAAGAUGGACCUGCGUUGUAUUAGCUAGUAGGUGAGGUAACAGCUCACCUAGGCGACGAUACAUAGCCGACCUGAGAGGGUGAUCGGCCACACUGGGACUGAGACACGGCCCAGACUCCUACAGGAGGCAGCAGUAGGGAAUCUUCGGCAAUGGGGGCAACCCUGACCGAGCAACGCCGCGUGAGUGAAGAAGGUUUUCGGAUCGUAAAGCUCUGUUGUAAGUCAAGAACGAGUGUGAGAGUGGAAAGUUCACACUGUGACGGUAGCUUACCAGAAAGGGACGGCUAACUACGUGACAGCAGCCGCGGUAAUACGUAGGUCCCGAGCGUUGUCCGGAUUUAUUGGGCGUAAAGCGAGCGCAGGCGGUUUGAUAAGUCUGAAGUUAAAGGCUGUGGCUCAACCAUAGUUCGCUUUGGAAACUGUCAAACUUGAGUGCAGAAGGGGAGAGUGGAAUUCCAUGUGUAGCGGUGAAAUGCGUAGAUAUAUGGAGGAACACCGGUGGCGAAAGCGGCUCUCUGGUCUGUAACUGACGCUGAGGCUCGAAAGCGUGGGGAGCGAACAGGAUUAGAUACCCUGGUAGUCCACGCCGUAAACGAUGAGUGCUAGGUGUUGGAUCCUUUCCGGGAUUCAGUGCCGCAGCUAACGCAUUAAGCACUCCGCCUGGGGAGUACGACCGCAAGGUUGCAACUCAAAGGAAUUGACGG
This 885-nucleotide ribosomal RNA is filed under the name uncultured bacterium. Its description in RNAcentral is "bacterial SSU rRNA". It matches the Rfam family "Bacterial small subunit ribosomal RNA", at positions 49 to 916 of the family's 1533-position model. The record is from RNAcentral.